RNAcentral lists this transfer RNA (72 nucleotides) under Candidatus Berkelbacteria bacterium. RNAcentral describes it as "tRNA-Gln". It matches the Rfam family "tRNA". Rfam says of the family: Transfer RNA (tRNA) molecules are approximately 80 nucleotides in length. The record is from RNAcentral. Lineage: Bacteria; Candidatus Berkelbacteria.
UGCCGGGUCGUCUAGCGGUAGGACGUCUGCCUCUGGAGCAGAAAAUCGAAGGUUCGAAUCCUUCCCCGGCAG